UACAGAGGUCCCGAGCGUUGUUCGGAUUCAUUGGGCGUAAAGGGCGCGUAGGCGGGUGCUCAAGUCCGGGGUGAAAUCCUCCAGCUCAACUGGAGAACUGCCUCGGAUACUGGGUGCCUCGAGUGUGGUAGGGGUGUGCGGAAUUCUCGGUGUAGCGGUGAAAUGCGUAGAUAUCGAGAGGAACACCUGCGGCGAAGGCGGGUUGCUGGGCUGAUACUGACGCUGAGGAGCGAAAGCGUGGGGAGCGAACAGG
This 253-nucleotide ribosomal RNA is filed under the name uncultured bacterium. RNAcentral describes it as "partial 16S ribosomal RNA". It matches the Rfam family "Bacterial small subunit ribosomal RNA", at positions 524 to 776 of the family's 1533-position model. The record is from RNAcentral.